GGCUAAUGUAUUUAGAAACCAAGAAGAUCAUCAAAAGUCAUGAUGUAGAGUUUUUGGAUCAUAAGAGUAUUUUUGAGCACUUGGAAGAGUGUCCAAGUGGGAGUGAAGGUGUGUUUGUGGACACAUCUUCAAGUUCAACAAAGAAAGAAGAAGAAGAUGAUACUGAUAAUGAAGAUGCAGGAAAUAGAAGUUAAGAUCAAGUGCCAAAGAAGGUAAAUCAUAGUGUACCUUCAAUUGCUAGAACCAACAAUGAAGACAAUAAAGAUAUUGAAGGUGAUGAUGAUGAUGAAGAAUAUCAACCUUUGAGUG
Molecule: long non-coding RNA, 309 nt
Filed under: Physcomitrium patens
Lineage: Eukaryota; Viridiplantae; Streptophyta; Bryopsida; Funariales; Funariaceae
Description: long non-coding RNA (PPAT_LNC000969)
Source: RNAcentral